UACGGGAGGCAGCAGUGGGGAAUAUUGCACAAUGGGCGAAAGCCUGAUGCAGCUAUGCCGCGUGUAUGAAGAAGGCCUUAGGGUUGUAAAGUACUUUCAUCGGGGAGGAAAAAACAAAACUAAUAAUUUUAUUUCUUGACGUUACCCGAAAAAGAAGCACCGGCUAACUCCGUGCCAGCAGCCGCGGUAAUACGGAGGGUGCUAGCGUUAAUCAGAAUUACUGGGCGUAAAGAGCACGUAGGUGGUUUUUUUAAGUCAGAUGUGAAAUCCCUGGGCUUAACCUGGAACUGCAUUUUGAAACUGAAAUACUAGAGUAUCGUAGAGGGAGGUAGAAUUCUAGGUGUAGCGGUGAAAUGCGUAGAUAUCUGGAGGAAUACCUGUGGCGAAAGCGGCCUCCUAAACGAAUACUGACACUGAGGGUGCGAAAGCGUGGGGAGCAAACAGGGAUUAGAUACCCGU
RNAcentral lists this ribosomal RNA (459 nucleotides) under uncultured bacterium. RNAcentral describes it as "bacterial SSU rRNA". It matches the Rfam family "Bacterial small subunit ribosomal RNA", at positions 340 to 789 of the family's 1533-position model. The record is from RNAcentral.